UACGUAGGGGGCAAGCGUUGUCCGGAAUCAUUGGGCGUAAAGAGCGUGUAGGCGGCCCGAUAAGUCCGCUGUGAAAGUCCAGGGCUCAACCCUGGGAUGCCGGUGGAUACUGUCGGGCUCGAGUCCGGAAGAGGCGAGUGGAAUUCCCGGUGUAGCGGUGAAAUGCGCAGAUAUCGGGAGGAACACCUAUGGCGAAGGCAGCUCGCUGGGACGUUACUGACGCUGAGACGCGAAAGCGUGGGGAGCAAACAGG
Molecule: ribosomal RNA, 253 nt
Filed under: uncultured bacterium
Lineage: Bacteria
Description: partial 16S ribosomal RNA
Rfam family: Bacterial small subunit ribosomal RNA
Source: RNAcentral